UACAGAGGUCUCAAGCGUUGUUCGGAUUCAUUGGGCGUAAAGGGUGCGAAGGUGGCGCUGUAAGUCGGGUGUGAAAUUUCGAGGCUUAACCUCGAAACUGCAUUCGAUACUGCGGUGCUUGAGGACUGGAGAGGAGACUGGAAUUCAUGGUGUAGCAGUGAAAUGCGUAGAGAUCAUGAGGAAGACCAGUGGCGAAGGCGGGUCUCUGGACAGUUCCUGACACUGAGGCACGAAGGCCAGGGGAGCAAACGGG
RNAcentral lists this ribosomal RNA (253 nucleotides) under uncultured bacterium. RNAcentral describes it as "partial 16S ribosomal RNA". It matches the Rfam family "Bacterial small subunit ribosomal RNA", at positions 524 to 776 of the family's 1533-position model. The record is from RNAcentral.